RNAcentral lists this ribosomal RNA (469 nucleotides) under uncultured bacterium. RNAcentral's name for it is "partial 16S ribosomal RNA". It matches the Rfam family "Bacterial small subunit ribosomal RNA", at positions 28 to 507 of the family's 1533-position model. The record is from RNAcentral.
GACGAACGCUGGCGGCGUGCUUAACACAUGCAAGUCGAACGGAAAGGCCCUGCUUGCAGGGUGCUCGAGUGGCGAACGGGUGAGUAACACGUGGGUGAUCUGCCCCUUACUUUGGGAUAAGCCUUGGAAACUGGGUCUAAUACUGGAUAGGACCAUGCUGUAGGUGGUGUGGUGGAAAGAUUAGUUUCGGUAAGGGGUGAGCUCGCGGCCUAUCAGCUUGUUGGUGGGGUAAUGGCCUACCAAGGCGUCGACGGGUAGCCGGCCUGAGAGGGUGGACGGCCACAUUGGGACUGAGAUACGGCCCAGACGCCUACGGGAGGCAGCAGUGGGGAAUAGUGCACAAUGGGCGCAAGCCUGAUGCAGCGACGCCGCGUGGGGGAUGACGGCCUUCGGGUUGUAAACUCCUUUCAGCCAUGACGAAGCCCUUGUGGUGACGGUAGUGGUAGAAGAAGCACCGGCUAACUACGUG